CCCCCCUCCCCCGGCGCCGGGAAUCCCUCCGCGCCGGCCCGGCCGGAUCUCGCCGCGGGGCGGGGAUGCCGCCGGAGCGCCGGCGGCGCGGCCGAAGGGAGGAAGAAAGGGAGGAUUGCUGCCGCUCCCGGGCCGCGGCCAUGCCGCCGCGCCGCGGAGCUCACCGGCCAGCGGGCCCAGAGCAGAGCGAGGACUAUUUCCCGGCGACGGCGGCGGCGCAGGGAUCCCGGCGGGCGGGUGUCGCGGCCCCUGUGGGGCCGGAGCCGGGGCGGGAGGAGCCGCGGCCGCGCAGGGCCCGGCCCGGGGCCGCGGAGCGGGACCGAGACCGGGCCCCGGCGGGGAAAGCCGGUGCUUAAAUUUUUGAAUUUAGAAAGAAAACCCGUACUGGUUUUCUUUCUAAAUUGAAAAAGUGAUAUAUUUAUUUACCUGUUAAGUGAAUUCCGGUGCGUUACCAGGUGCUGCGGUGUUGCCAUCCAGUUUGUCUCAAAUAUUCACGUUUUAUGAGGUAAAAAAGGGCUGAGAUGGGCUCCAGACCGAGUCUGAGUUGCAGUGUGACAGCAGUCUUGCUGCUUAAUCUGGAGAGGCAUUAUUAGUCUGGUUUGUUCUAUGGAAAUACAUUUAAUGUUCUUGCAGCUAUGUUUUAAUGUGUUAGAGGUAUUUUUAAUGAUGCAGUGUUGGUUUGUCAGUCUGAUUUUCGGAUGUAGGGAAAAAAGUAUGAACUUAAAUUGCUGUAUAUCAAGCUGAAGUCUCAUGUUCCAGCUAAGAGUGUCUGACACGAUCCAUUACCCUUUGUCACAUCUCAGCAAUUCUUCCCGAACUCUGCCCUGGUGGCUGUCUACCCCCAGCUGGUUGGCUGAUUGAUUGAUUAAUUGAUUGAAGAGUGCUAGCAGGAAUAGUGCAGCUUCUUUAUUACGCUGAGAUAAAGGGAAGAUGACUACUUGUGUCCAUACUUAAAGCUACUAAGUGCCUUAUAGUUGGAUUGUAUCAUGAUACUGUUAGCGAUGUUUGCUGUUUCUUCAUACUUGCCUUGAAAGCAGCCCAUUAUGGUCAAGUUAUCUACUUUUGAAAAGCCUUUGGUAUAUGUGUGCUUCCUAGAAUAUGUCAGGAAAAUACUGUCAAGAUGUUUCCUGCUUUGGGAAUUUUGUGUCUUUGAAGAACUGGUUUUGUGACGGCUUUUGGCCAACGGCUAUCAAAAAUGCAAGUAAACAAGCUGCAACUCCUUUAUGCUUGCUGUUUUUCAAGAGCUGGAGAGAAAGAUUAGUAAGGACAAGGUAGGAGCAGCGGUGGUUGACUGCCUGCAAGUGCCUCAACAAUUGAGGAUUCGCAGUCUCACAGUUUAAUGUACAUGAAAGAACUCACAAUAAGAAAAUGAAAUGCCACAACCACAGGAAAAUCUUGAACCAAUGUUUGUACUUUUAAGGCACAAAACUUAGGAAAUUUACAAGAAGCAGGAAAUCAUUAUGAAAACUUGCAGGAAAUUUGGAUUUGUUGUUUUAGUUCUAAGGCCAUCUAUUUGAGAAUUUUAUCUUCAUUUUCCACAGAUGUGAAAUUUGGGCACACAUGUGGCACUAUGACUGUAUUUGUCUAACAGUUCUAAACUACUGAUAAAAACUGCCAGAAGUUUUAGUAAGCUGUUACACCUUUCAGGAAUUUUAAGUUCGUACAAGUGUCAUGAAAGUAACCACCAGAAAGGAAGAAAGAUUCCUUGUAGCAUAGUUUGGAGGAGAAUUGUGAGAGGAGCUUGACCUUUUCUGUUUCUGUUAUUUGCGUGGCUGCUGAUGAAACUGCUUUUCAGAUAUUACAAUAAAGGGGCAUAGGUUCACUUAGUUAAGCACUAAGAUAUUAGCAGAUGCAUGUAAUGAUUUUUUCCCCCCAUGCAAUCUGGAAGUUGGCUUGCUUUGGGCUGUUUCUUCUCUUGGAUUCUUGUCUUAACCUUCUCUUGUCUUCUAUUUUAAUUUUUUUUAUUUGGUUGUUUUUUUAUCCCUCUCUCCACAGAUCCUCUGUCACGUUCAGUAUAUGGGUGCUUCUGGAUUAGAUGUGACUUGAUAAUCAAGUAGUUGUUUGUGACAUUGGUCCUGCAUUUGUUAUAGAAACGAUGCCUAAGGAGUUAUUUUAGACUAACAUUAGCUAACUAACUAACUAACAUGUAGAAUCACAGCAUGGAUUGGGUUGGAAGGGACCUUAAAGAUCAUCUAGUUCCAAACCCUUGCCAAGGGCAGGGAUGCCACUUCAUUAGAUCAGGUUUCUCAGAGCCCCAUCCAGCCUGGCCUUGGACACUUCCAGGGAUGGGGCAUCCACAACUUCUCCUUGCUUUAUGUUGUCUCCUUUCCUCUGUAUGUCCUUCCUUGUCCGUAUCCUUGUUUGUAGUUUUUGUUUCCGGACAUAAUCCCUAGAGGACAGCAAAGUAACCAGUGCGUUCAGAAGGUGCAGAUUGGGCCAGGCUAAAGAUUCUCAUUAUGAGCCUGUCAGUUUGACAUUCCUGCAGAUUAUGCCUUUCUUCUUAAAGUUUGUUUCCCAAAUCAUAGUUUCAGGGGGAAGGUUUGUGUUUGAGCAGGACGGCAGGGAUCCUUGGGGUACAAAGUGGAUUGCAACAGAGAGGAAGGGAAUUAGGGAAUGGACAAGUUGCAGACAAGGAAGGUGAAGCAGUUGCUUCUUCCCUUUUAGUGAAGGGGAAAAAAGUAGAAACACAAGCUCAAAAGGAAACAACUUUCCCUAUCCGUUAAUUAACUCAGCUUAAAACCUACACAGCUUCUGAGGAUGCUCCACACAGGGUUGAGACCUCUUGCAAGUUUUGUUGGUGUGGGUUCUUGGAAUUCAUUUCAAACCAGACUCUGGAGUGUGGACUUCUGCAUAUUAUUACCUUACAGUGAGGGUUAAUGACAGCAUUAACUGUUGAGUGGUGAGCUAGGGGAAAGUAAAGACUGUUUAUUCAGAAGAAACUAAAUUCUUAAAAUGAUGUUUUAACAUGCCUAUAUUACUAUGGAAUAAUAUAGAAUGGAAAUUACCUCUAAAAUUGAAUCCAACCAUUAACGCAGCACUGCCAAGUCUACCACUAAACCACAUCCCUAAGUCUCAAAUCCAUGCUUCUUUUAAAUACUGCCUGGGAUGGUGACUCCACUACUUCCUUGAGCAGCCUGUUGCAAUGCUUGACAAGUCUCUCUGUGAAGAAAGUUUUCCAAAUAUCUAAUCUAAACCUCUCCUGGUGCAACUUGAGGCUGUUUCUUCUCAUCCUGUUAUUACCUGUGAGAAGAGACCAUUCCCCACCUUGCUACAGCCUCCUUUCAGGCAGUGUAGACAGCCAUGAAUAUUCCCCUCAGCCUCCUUUCCAGGCUAAACAGCCCCAGCCCACUCAGCUGCUCCUCAUAAAAUUUGUGCACCAGACCUUUCACCAGCUUUAUUGCUCUUUGGAUGCUCUUCAGCACCUGUUAUAUGUUAUGCCCAUCUCAACUAUAAAUUCCUAACUCAUUAAAUUCUAGGUCAGGGAAAGUAUUGCAGAUCACAUAUUUGUCCUUUUUAUCUUAUGGUGACAGUUUCAUGCUUUCAGUUUUUUUGGAAAGAGCAUUUUGACAGUUUCCUGUCUUGGGAAUGUUGCCUUACACCAUUUAAAAGCUGUGUCUUUAAAUAUUUUUAGAAACAGGUCAACAGAUUUGUGAUGCUUCUUCAGAAAAAUUAUAGAUGGAUGAUGUGUAUUGUGUGAAACCCAAAGAAGAUAGGACGACCAUGGAAACCUUUUGGCAAUAUCCAGCCUGGAAACUUGUGCUUUAAUGUGAAGGUUUAUAAUUGUUCCACAAAGAAAAGUAAGCUCUUUGUCGUCAUAAACACAUUAAGAAAAGCAUGCCUGGGAUCAAGGUAAUUUCAGAUAAAUUACACUGCUUGGAGUCUGUUCACGCCUCUGCUGGAAAAUAUAUAGGUGUCAUCCAUCAACUCCUGUGUUUCUUUUAUAUUAAACACAACUAGGCCUGCUGGGUGGUAAGUGGGAGGCUUGGAGUGGAUAGGGUGAGAUUUAUUAGUUCUUUUACACUGAUGGUUGUUGCUGUGUUUCAUUCAACAUUCUUGAAAUUUUCAAGGACUUCACAUUUUAGUGCAACCAGUGGAAGAUGGUGGCUUCUCUACAGCUCUAGAAAAUCAGGCCUUCAGUCUCAAGCUAGCAUUCAUUAGGAUUUUUGAAUACUAGUCUUAAUGUUUUAAGACAGAAAUUAGAAAAAUUUGUUCUAUAACUGGCCAUUAAAAUGAAACAGCAAAGCAUUUCCUGCCUUUCUACUGUUAAUAUCCCCAACUGAGAUUUUUUUUCUUUGUUUUCUCUCUUUUUGUAGUGCUGUUUUCCAGUUAAAGGUUUCAAGAGUUAUCUCCUUUCCAGAUCUGAAUGGGAUUCUUCUGCAUCAGAACAGUUGGUAACUUAUUCUUGUGAGAUGAAGAAAGUCAUGUUGCAGUUCCUUUGAGAAGUUUAAGGACUUCAUCUAUUUAAAUGCAUGUCACCAGGAGGGACAGCUGUUCCUGCUCAGCCCUUUCAGUAUCAUUGUUUUAUUUCUCUUCAGUUAAUCUAAAUAUCUGGUGAGCUGUACUGUUUGCAAAGAGUAAAGAGGUUCUGUGUCUGGUUGAUUAUGAUGACACACACUGUGGGAAAAGCUGAGUGUAGCUAACUUCAUCUUGUGUUGCAUAGGCAGCUGAGGACAAGAGGCCAUUUCAGAAAGUCAGUCUACAGAUAUUAUUUAAGCACUUAUUUUUUGCAUACCCUUUGUAAAGGAAAUUUUGGUAAUAGCUGGCUGUUUGUCUUUGAAUCAGAGCGCUGACAUUCAGUCUUGUCAGUGAAAAUUCUCAGACUGUGUAUGAAGAUCUUAUGUAUGUGGCUGAAAUGGUAGCACCUCUGUACAAAUGAUUUGGGUUUAGGGCCAGUUGUUUCCCACAAGGGAAAAAAGAUAUUGUAAUUGUUUUGGUAAACCAGUGUGCUUUUACUUUGUCCUCUUUCACUUCUGCAGACAGUUACCUGAACUACUUUUCAUAGGACUGUUCAGCAGAAAGCAGAAGUCACCUAAUUGAUACUUAAAGCUGUUGGACCUCUGUAAGAAAUGUAGUUUGGUUCUCCUGUGCAGUGUUUACAUUUUUGUGUGUUUGUUGUGGUUUGGGAGGGGUUUGUUUUUCUAAAUGCAAAGCAAGUGCUUUGCUUCCAUGCAGUUGGAGAAACUGUGCUAAACUUAUACUUUACUCUUUCUUGUCAGGUUUUCUGUCGCUGUGCUAACUUGGAGAGAUGACCAUUUGCUGUGAGUUGAUGAUGUUUAUGCUCUCUCUUAUGGAUCUCUCCUCCUUUUCCUUCUAUGAAGCAGGAAGGAACACACUGUGCAAGAUUUUCUCCUUGCAGUUAAUAGUACCAAGCACUAAUUUUGUUGAGAAAAAUGAUAUUUAAAACAUUCUAGAAUAAAAAAGGAGAAUGCUCUGCUAUGUUACCAUUGUUGUGUGUCUAAUCCUGAAAAAGAGAGAACUUUGCCCCAAACACCUUACAGUUUGUUUGGGAUCCAGCCAGUCUAUGUAAUUGGAAAUUGAAUUUCCAAUUAGGAAAGGAAAAUAAAGGGAGAAUAAAGGAAACAUCAGUAAUAUGUUGGACAAAUUAUGUAAAAUUACUGUAACCCUCUACUGCCUAUCCAUUUAAGAUGCAGUGUUAUUGCAGGAGUAAUCUUGAGGGAUCUGAAAGAACCAAAUGAUAAGAACUUCACUUGAGGAAGAUGAUAUAUUUUUACACCUGGAAAAAAGGCGUAAGGAGUGGUGUAGUAACCAGUAGUGGCAGCUUUUUUUGCUGUAUGUCUUAGGCCUUGUACUGUCAGAACAAUUUAUUCAAUAGCAUACUGGUACAUUCUGCUACAUUUUGUCCUCCAUAGCUUAUCCUACCUGGCUUCAUGUGGUUUAAGGGUGGGGGAAGAAGACAAGUAAAAAGUCUUAAGACCAAAAGAAGGUCCCUGAUGUAUUGCAAGAGUUUGUAUUUCUGCUUUCUAUCUUGUUGUUUCUGUAGAAAAGUAUACACUGUUUCUUAGACAUCCCUGUGUUACGGAGCUGUGCUGGAUUUUGAAGGUCAGUGUGGCUGGACUGUGUAGAUAUCAAAACAUUACUGCUAUUUAAGAGUCAUGUCUUUUUCCGCUGUAACUACUGUUUGGCUCACGUAAUGAUCCACAGUUCAGAUAUACAAUUUAGGAAAGAUCAGCAAGAGGUUCCAUUUUGAGAAUUUCUCUAAGACAGAGUUGCAAGCAACAAAAAUAUAAUAAUUAAUUAUUUUUUUCUCAUAUAAGUAAUAUUAUUUUUCUACAUGGAAAUUGUUAUACUGUUUCACUGCAAUUUCCUAGGAUACAAAUGGUUCUCUUAGAAGUAUCCUGAUAAAAAAAAAACAGCAGCUCAACAACAAACAAAUCAAUAUGGCUGUAUCUGCCUAUUCAAAUUGUAUUGUACAGUGUUUCCAGGAAUGAUGUUCUCUCUUCUCCUGUCUGAGGCAGAUAAUGGCUACAUAAAUAUAAAACUGAAAUCCACAAUUUUGCAUGUGAGGGUGUGGAUCAGUACAUAAAGGGUCAAUCUACAGUAGCAAGAUUGUCCUUGGAAAGAAUGAACUGUUCUCAAAAUUUCUGCUGAAGUAUUUGUUAAACUGAGAGGAAAAACAAAAGGUCAUGCCUACACAACUUCAGGGUGAGAAGGUUGGAUACCACUAGGACGUUGCUAUUGUUGGUUUCCACACAGUUUUUAGAAAAACACCCACUCAACUUCACUCUCAGCAAGUGCUUUAAAUUCUCUUAUUGCUGAAGAUGAUGUUUUUACUUCUUCUUACAUAGUUCACUAUCUUCUAUCUAAAUUACAUCCCUUUUAGUGAAGGUGGCUUUUGUCCUCAGUUAAAUUAAACUAAUUAAAGCCUGAAAAAUAUUUUAGUCUGGGAGCCUGUUAUGAGGUCCAUUUGUGUUAGAUACAUAUUGUUCUAAAAACCCAAAGAAAUUACCCAGGUUUCGGAGUUACACUCUGAGCCCACUGCCAGAGAUCCCUGAUCCUUAUGGAUGCUGGAGAACUGGGCAAGGGCAUUUUUGAUAUGUGAUGUUCUGCUGGUUUGUUGUGUAAACCUACACUUCUAACAAGUGGCUCCCACCCCAUCCACUGUUCCCUAAAUUCACCUUCCCAUGUGCUACAUGCUGUAUUUCAGUUUGGUAGCUGCAGAUAGAUCUGGAUAGUCUAAAAGGAUGUCCUGAUACUUCUCUGUACUGUGUGACUUUACAUAGAGGUUUUGUGUUAAUUAACGGUAGCAGUCUUUGCUUCACAAUAAUAGAUGGAAGCAAAUAAAAAAAAAAAAGAAUCCUCUUCUACUUGUAAAAAAAUUAACCAAAAUUAGAAAAGACAAACCUCCCCUCCACCAAGUAUGCAAGUGUUUAUGAAAAUCAGUAGUUCAUAUGUUACUAGGUAUGAAUAUGAGUCCAGUACUGAUAAAGACCAUAGAAAAAACUGCUUUUAAAAGAUGAUAAAAUUUAGAAAAGUAGUAAUUUUUUUCUCAGUGCAAUUGCUGAAGAUAACACUAAGACACUAGUUAGAGUGAGAAAUUUUGUUACCACUUUAUUUAAAUUUUAAAUUUAAAAAAGGCAGUACUAUGCUAGUUACAAAACCCUUCCUUCCCUCCCUGCCAGAUUUGUGCUCCUCAGUUGUUUGGCUAGUUUUGCCUUUCCCCUCCACUGUCAAAGAAUGCAACAAAGUUUUGUCUACACAGAAAGCAGUAAUGCAUGUAAGUAAUGCAGCCUGUUGACAUUAGUAAAUGGGAAAUAGGUGAUGAAUGCUAAACUCAGGAAAAAUAUGAAAUAAAGUUACAAAAAUUUAGUCUGCUUUUUUCCCUUCCAUGUUCUAGGUUUUUGUUUUGUUUUUUUUUUUUUUUUUUUUUUGGAGGUGAGGUUGAUUUCUGGCUGUUGAUAAACCUUCCAUAACUGAAAAUGUACAAGGAACUGGUAUGCUAAAGUCUUAAGGUAAGAAACUUUAGAGUAUGUGACUUCAAAACUGGAAUUCUGAGUAUAUGUAAGGCAAAACCUAUAAAAUACAAGCUCUGUGCAAGAAAUUUAUUCACUGUGCUGAGGAUAGUUUUAUGCUGGGUACUCUUUAAGGUGUGUUUCUUGGAGAGGCUGCUUGGAAAGAAGCCUUAGCAGUGCCUUUACCACUGUCAGCCUCACAGGUAGGAUGCUUUUGUCCAGAAAACAAACAAGGAGGCUUUUAAGACUGUUAGGCUUUUUAAAUUUACUAAAGAGUUUAGGUUAUGUUAUAAUCUGGGAAGUCUGACUCAGUGUUAUUUGGAAAUUUUUUGUAUCAUUACGUUCUUGGAAAAAAACUAUAUAGUGGAAUACAAAGGCAAAAAAAAAAAAAAGAGGACCUGCUAGCUAACACAAGCAUAUUCCUUACUAUGGGUUAUUUUUUCUGAAUCUUGGCCUAAACCAUCUUAUUUUCAGUUUUAUUUUUUUGAACAGUAUAUAAUGAAAACAUAGGAUUAAAAGUGGAUUUAAAAUAUUUUUUAUAUUAGAGACUACUAGACAACAGUUAAGAGAUAAAGAUGCAAUUAGUAUCAAUACAGUAAUUCAGCCUGCAGAACUCCUUGCUACUUUACCAAAAGCAAUCACCCAGAACUAUGGGUUUCUAGAUUUACUGUGGACAGGGCAUACAAAUAAAAUUAUUUGUUACAAUUACUUAGCAGGGCCCUGCAUUCUGCUAGAAUUCAAGCAAGCUGCAUCCGAACUGCUUAAUCUUGCCUUGUUUUAUACUGGUCGAGAGACACAGGAAAAAUGAGGCCAGUGAAAUGCACAAUAGAUGUGUUAAUAAAAGAAACCCCACCAAACCUGGAAUCAAAGAAACUAUGGGUAUUUUCUUUCCCUUCUCUGAGUAACAACACCAGCAGGUCACUGCCUCUGCUCUGAGACAGGGAGAGACUGUGGCCGUGUCAGGACAGGGUUGAGCCAAGAGGAUUGAGUGGACACAAGUGCAACGAGGGGAAGGGUGAUAGUAACUGUUGUCCCAAAAAAGAUAUGUGGUGACUUUAUGUUAAAAUAAAACUAGGAUUUUUUUUUCCCCUCCCUAACUCUGGAAAUCCAGGAUGCUUCCUCCUGUUGAAAUAAAUGGAGAUGGACAUGCUGUCCAAAUGGGGAAAAUUUUUCUAUGUCCUUUUGAGGUGUUCUUUAAGAAGGUACAGUUCCUCCCUGUUAGCCCACACUCCAAAUGUUAGAUGUAUAAAUAAAAACUGUACUCCCUCAUCAGUUUUAUUUUGAGAUUUUUUUUCUUCCUUUCAGAACAUUGGAUUUUUUUUAGUUAUUUUUCCAUAAUUGUGAGCCAUAAAAAGUGUGGAGGAAAUUUAGUAAUUCCAAAACUAGAAAAGUAUCAAUAUUUAUUGUUUGACAAAUUUGUUAUGGCUGCUUGGAAAUACUAACAUACUUCAGUUCCUAGAUCUACAGUCUGCUGUGCAACUGGAUAUUUCUUUGAGUUUAUUUCAGACCCUAGAAAUGAUUGGACCUUUAGGAACCUCAGGCUGAACUUGAUGAGUGUCUCAAGAUAGUGCAGAAAUAAAUUGAACAAUUUCAGUAAGAUGCACAGAUAUCUUCUCAAAUUCUUUCCUUUUGAUGGACACAUGUGCUUGUUAAACUCCUGACUUGCCUUAGUUUUAAGGAUUUUGUUUCUCAUUGCUCUUCCCACAAGAUAACAAACAAGGGUAAUCACAAGCAAGUAAGUAUUCAUUACUACUUGACAGAAAGCCUUUGCCUGCAUUGCUUUGCAGGUAAGAAGUUGUACAAUAAUGACUACUUUGUUGAUUUGAAUGUAAAAAUAAAAAAAGUUAUAAUUGUUUCUCCAUCUUA
This is a long non-coding RNA of Taeniopygia guttata (zebra finch), 9836 nucleotides long. RefSeq lists it as uncharacterized. The record is from RefSeq and is a predicted model, not a curated record. Lineage: Eukaryota; Metazoa; Chordata; Aves; Passeriformes; Estrildidae.